UACGAAGGGGGCUAGCGUUGCUCGGAAUCACUGGGCGUAAAGCGCACGUAGGCGGAUCCUUAAGUCGGGGGUGAAAUCCUGGAGCUCAACUCCAGAACUGCCUUUGAUACUGGGGAGCUCGAGUCCGGAAGAGGUGAGUGGAACUCCGAGUGUAGAGGUGAAAUUCGUAGAUAUUCGGAAGAACACCAGUGGCGAAGGCGGCUCACUGGUCCGGUACUGACGCUGAGGUGCGAAAGCGUGGGGAGCAAACAGG
Molecule: ribosomal RNA, 253 nt
Filed under: uncultured bacterium
Lineage: Bacteria
Description: partial 16S ribosomal RNA
Rfam family: Bacterial small subunit ribosomal RNA
Source: RNAcentral